ACGGUUAUGAGCUUGGUGGCUAGAGAGAGGUUUUGCAGAAGCCCACUUGUGUAAAUGUGAGCAUGGAGUUGUUUAAGUUCUCUGAGGUUGGUGCAAUUGUCAAAGAUGGAGUUGUAGGUGACAGAAGAUAGGUGGCUAAUGUAGAGAGGAGGAGAGAAGAGAGAGAAAGAGGUAAGAGAUGAGAGUCUUAUUGGGGCUUUAGAGAGAGAGGGAAGGAUGGGUAAAAGGCUUUUGAUGAGGUUGAGGGCAUAUGCCAUUUCAUUGGGUGAAGUGUUUGGGUAAAUGUUGGUUUGAGGACUGAGAAAGAGUUGGUCCAUGACCCCUCAAAGCUGGGGUAUUGGAGUUUGGACCAUGGAGAGAAAUCAGAUGGAGCCUAAAGUCUACCACAUGAGUUUGGUUUCAAGAGAGAGAUGAAUUUGGAAACAUGAAUGAGAGAGAGUACACAAUUAAGUGUCAGCCACAGUGAGAAAAUACACACCCAAGUUGAUUGAUUAGUCACAUGGUAAGAAUCAUAAUACAAAGGAAAAGAGGACAUGAGAUUAGAGAAUGACACAGAAAGCAAUAAAGCUCAUAACAGAGAGUACAAUUUAAGAUGAUGUCACAUGGGGAAAGAACCAAGAGAACCUGGUAUAUUGGAAUGUCUCUGUACAUAUUCUCUGAUGAUGACAGCUACAGUAUAACCCCUAAGGAGCAUAGUACAGGGUCCUGUUUUAUUUCCUGUGUUUGGUACGGAAACU
RNAcentral lists this long non-coding RNA (737 nucleotides) under Amborella trichopoda. RNAcentral's name for it is "long non-coding RNA (ATRI_LNC003817)". Lineage: Eukaryota; Viridiplantae; Streptophyta; Magnoliopsida; Amborellales; Amborellaceae. The record is from RNAcentral.